GGAGGUUCUGUCGUUGAUCUGAUGUCUGGAUAUAGUUUCUCAGGAAUGAAUUGAGCCGGAGAGAGAGAGAUUUAAUGGGCCUGCUCUCCAUUGAGAAGUCCAAGCUCUUCCUUGAUCCUGUGACGCACCUGAAUAAUGAUGACGCGACGGCUGUCUGUGCAGACUAACCCCCCAGGCCGUCCAUCCAUUAUUAUACCCGGCCGACUCCAAGCAGAUGGGUUCACCCUUAUGUGCUUAAGGUUUCUUCCUGAUUAACAGGGAGUUUUUCCUUGCUCCUGUUGCCAUUGCGCUCUAAGGGGGUUCAGGCCCUGGGCUCUUUUAAGCACCUUGAGACAAUUUUAUUGUUUUGGCACUAUAUAAAUAAGUUGAAUUUGGUUGAAUUAAAUAUAUAUACAAUUAUUUUGCGGAGGACAUUGUAUCAGACAGAUUAUCUGGACACCACUGGCAUCUCAAACAUCAUAAAAUACAUACAUAAGGCUAUAGAACAAGUCGUACAACAUAUAUCAGAACAUGUCAGUAGCUCAUAGUUUAGUGCCGUGUAUAAUACACUUUAAUAACAGUGCCUAUGUUUUUACAUUCCUAGAAUACUAAGGCCUCAGCAAUGUUUUGUUUCCUCCAGAAAAGUAGAUCAGUGGAUCUGGGUCAUUAACAUUAAAGUACCUUGGCUAAAUCCUCCUACUUUGCUAAUGCUCAGCUGAGGCAGUGAGCAGCCUGGACCUGUAAAGUUAGGAGAUGGAGGAGUUGGAUCACUUAAAUCUCUCGAUGUGCACAUGGAAGUGUAGAUGUGGCUCUUGUUUGCUUUUGUGUACUGAGUUGACACUUGACACUAGCGAUAAAAUCAAUUGGGAGAAUGUAAUAAUGCCAUUCUUUAAAAUAAAGCUUUUUUUCUGCUGGAGCAAGC
Long non-coding RNA from Clupea harengus (Atlantic herring), 901 nucleotides. Lineage: Eukaryota; Metazoa; Chordata; Actinopteri; Clupeiformes; Clupeidae. The record is from Ensembl.